This 235-nucleotide ribosomal RNA is filed under the name Funneliformis mosseae. RNAcentral describes it as "partial 18S ribosomal RNA". It matches the Rfam family "Eukaryotic small subunit ribosomal RNA", at positions 548 to 785 of the family's 1831-position model. Lineage: Eukaryota; Fungi; Glomeromycota; Glomeromycetes; Glomerales; Glomeraceae. The record is from RNAcentral.
UUGGAGGGCAAGUCCGGUGCCCCCGCCGCGGUAAUUCCAGCUCCAAUAGCGUAUAUUAAAGUUGUUGCAGUUAAAAAGCUCGUAGUUGAAUUCCGGGAUCAAUAUUUCGGUCAUGCCGUUGGUAUGCACUGUUAUCAUUGAUUUCUCACCUUCUAAAGAACCGUAAUGCCAUUAAUUUGGUGUUACGGGGAAUUAGGACUGUUACCUUGAAAAAAUUAGAGUGUUUAAAGCAGGC